This 770-nucleotide long non-coding RNA is filed under the name Helianthus annuus (common sunflower). RNAcentral's name for it is "hypothetical non coding rna". The record is from RNAcentral. Lineage: Eukaryota; Viridiplantae; Streptophyta; Magnoliopsida; Asterales; Asteraceae.
GGGACAAGCAACGGGUAAGUGUGGGGAUGUGACGGGUGGUCCGUAGGACAACCCUUAAAAGGCUUAAUACAAUGCAUAUUCUACACUUUAUUCGGUGUUAAAGCUACCAAAAUGUAGCUUUUAGGAGGUAUGAUGGAAUGCUAGAAGUUAUGGGAGUUAAAGAGCGAAAGAAUGGAAGUUGGAGAAAUAAUGGAAAAGAAAACAAGCUCAGGACCGUAAGCUACGGUUCCUGGCCGUAGCUUACGGCCUCCCUUUCAUCCAAAAUGACCCGCCGUAGGACAGGGGCUCUUUACCGUAAAGAACAAUGCUUGCCGUAAGCUACGGUACCUGGCGUAGCUUACGGCACUAAGGUGAUUGACUAAGGCACAUUGACCGCCGUAAGCUACGGCGGUUGGCGUAGCUUACGGCGCCGACUGGGCUCUUGAUGUAACUUAUGCAUUGAAUGACCGUUUUAUGGAGACUUAUGGAGCUUAAUCAUGUUUGGUCGGUUACUAUUUAGAGAAAACGAAUUGAAGGCUAUAUUUAGGGACUUGGGAGCUUGGAAACAUUAUCUUUUGGCUAUCUAAUCAUCUAUCCUUUACUGUCUUUCACUUAAAUCUCUAGUUACUUCUUGUUGGUGAAACUUGUGAACAAUAUUUCCUUUCCAUUUGUCAUGAUGUUUGUUAUAGCCAUGAGUGGCUAAAUACUUGGGUGAUUAUCUUGUGUUGAAGGUUUGUGUAAGACUACGUGUUUUUAUUUCAUAUUUCUAGAAUAACAAUUUCUUUCUAUUU